CUGGGUGGCCUCAAUAGCAGACACUUAUGCUCUCACAGUUGUGCCCCUAACACAGGAGAAGCUAGAUACCUCUGGUGUUUCAGCUUAACGCUUACAGCUAAUUGCAGUCAUUCAGGUUUUACAGCUCACAGCCUCAGAUCCUAUUAACUUUGUCUGUGAUUCAGCUUAUGUUGUAAAUGUAGCCAGUCGCAUAGAAACUGCCACAAUUAAAAGUACACUAGACCCAGAACUGCUUAAUUAGUUAAUUAAUUAAUUUAUUUUUGAGAUGGAGUUUUGCUCUGUUGCCUAGGAUAUAGUGCAGUGGCACAAUCUCAGCUCACUGCAAGCUCCGCCUCCCGGGUUCACGCAAUUCUUCUGCCUCAACCUCCCGAGUAGCUGGGACUACAGGCGCCCGCCACCACGCCCGGCUAAUUUUUUGUAUUUUUAGUACAGAAGGGGUUUCACCAUGUUAGCCAGGAUGGUCUCGAUCUCCUGACCUCAUGAUCCACCUGCCUCGGCCUCCCAAAGUGCUGGGAUUACAGGCGUAAGCCACUGCACCCGGCCUAGAAUAGAUUUUAAAAGAUUUCUUUCAUAAAUUUUAGAAACCUAAAGAGGUGAUUUGUGAAAGAAACCAGAUUUUCAUUAGUUUACAAAUAUUUACAAAAUACUAUGUACUACUCGGUGUCUUCUUUACUGGAUUAUAAAUGUAGAAACAUGGAAAGUAAACACAGGACCUGUCAUGGUCCAUGUUCAAGGACAUUUGGGCCAGAAAUAGAUACACUGAUGGAAAACAGGGCCACGGGAGGUGGGAGAGAAUUUAAACGUGUAAUUUGAACAUUAAACAGCCAGGAACUUCCAGAAAAUUCUCUUGUGCUGCCAUGACCAGUAUCAAAGAACUUUACAAGGCUGAGGAGAGCCCACCAAAUGUUUUAAGUGUUUUGAGUCUAAAAUCUGGGUAUUAAAGCUUGGGCCAAGUGGGAGAAAAAGCAAUCUUAGGAAAAGAAAGUGCUAAGUCUGGUCCCUGGAGUUUAAGGCUUGUGUAAUGACAGGCAAGAAUAAGGUGAUUAGGCCCGGUGCGGUGACUCACGCCUGUAAU
RNAcentral lists this long non-coding RNA (1075 nucleotides) under Homo sapiens (human). Its description in RNAcentral is "HSALNT0345689". The record is from RNAcentral. Lineage: Eukaryota; Metazoa; Chordata; Mammalia; Primates; Hominidae.